Gallus gallus (chicken) is the source of this 1007-nucleotide long non-coding RNA. NCBI's taxonomy places the organism in Eukaryota, Metazoa, Chordata, Aves, Galliformes, Phasianidae. The record is from Ensembl.
CAACACUUUCUGCCCCCAUGUCAUAUAGUCUGAGUAACCAUGCUGGCACACUCUCUCUCGGUCUUUGUCUAAAGCGUUGUACUAAAUCCAUUAAUUCAGCUGCCGUGUAUGGGCGAGCUGUUACAUGUAGUGUGCUCUGGGCAGGGGGCCACUGGUCAGGGGGCAGCCCCGCUGGCCUGUCCUGCGUUUUUUUUGUUUUUUGAGUUACAACUGGUCGGAUCUCAAAGGGAUCAAGCUCUAGUGGAGCCUCAAGAUCUGACUUCUUAGUGCUUUCAUUUUCUGAGUCCAGUUCAUGUGGACUCUCUUGUAUAGGAUCCCCAGUUAUUUCUAGAGAGAUGUUUCGGAUUUUUUGUACCGGGAUUAUAGGGUUAGGUUUUUUCCCUCUCAAAAUUGCAACCUGUCUUUCCAGUUCUUCCACACGGUCACGUAAUAGUUGAUUUUCAUCAGUGAGAACCCCUUCAGUUAUAUUUAGCCGGUUCAAGGCCAUCAGCAGCGGCCACGCCACCGUUGAGGCAGCUAACUGUCGUUCUCGUGUAGUACUUUUCCAUUCCUACUCGGAUGUUGAAUAGGAUGUAUUACAACCAAGAUUCCCAAAAGGCUGCUUGAAAACCUUCCAGAAGCAGAUGCUACAUGCAACGAAAAAAAAAUGGAUGUGUUCAUACUUCCAUACAUAUUUUCAAGUUUACAACCAACGUAGAGAUGGCAUUAAUAAAAAUGAGCUCAUUGCUGGACUUCCCAAGUGAGAGAGACAGUAAGUGGUUAUGACCAUUCUGCUUUGGAAUAUGUUUUAGGGAGCUAUGGAAACACCUCCUACGUUUUGUCUUUGGGAUGAAAGACAAGCGUGAAUGAUGAAGCUCCAUCUUAAUACAUUUUAAAACACAGAAAUGUAGGCCAAUAUCGAAUGUAAUGUUAUGAGUACAAUGCAUAAAUACACCAAUGUUGCUGUAUAUCUGUCUCUACUGGAAAUAUCCUGUGAAAUAUAUCAUACUUAGAAUAACAUUUAUAUU